RNAcentral lists this ribosomal RNA (628 nucleotides) under uncultured cyanobacterium. Its description in RNAcentral is "bacterial SSU rRNA". It matches the Rfam family "Bacterial small subunit ribosomal RNA", at positions 1 to 672 of the family's 1533-position model. The record is from RNAcentral. Lineage: Bacteria; Bacillati; Cyanobacteriota.
AGGGGUUUGAUCCAUGGGGGCUCAGGAUGAACGCUGGCGGUAUGCUUAACACAUGCAAGUCGAACGAGACUACUUGUAGUCUAGUGGCGGACGGGUGAGUAACGCGUGAGAAUCUGCCUUGAGGACUGGGGCAACAGCGGGAAACUGCUGCUAAUACCAGAUAUGCAAGAUCGUGAAAUGGGGCAACCCGCCUGAAGAUGAGCUCGCGUCUGAUUAGCUAGUUGGUGGGGUAAGAGCCUACCAAGGCGACGAUCAGUAACUGGUCUGAGAGGAUGACCAGUCACACUGGGACUGAGACACGGCCCAGACUCCUACGGGAGGCAGCAGUGGGGAAUUUUCCGCAAUGGGCGAAGCCUGACGGAGCAAUACCGCGUGAGGGAGGAAGGCUCUUGGGUUGUAAACCUCUUUUCUCAGGGAAGAACAAAAUGACGGUACCUGAGGAAUAAGCAUCGGCUAACUCCGUGCCAGCAGCCGCGGUAAUACGGAGGAUGCAAGCGUUAUCCGGAAUUAUGGGGCGUAAAGCGUCCGCAGGUGGCAGUUCAAGUCUGCUGUCAAAGGUCAGGGCUUAACCUUGAACAGGCAGUGGAACUGAACAGCUAGAGUGCGGUAAGGGGCAAAGGGAUUCCCA